CUUUCUUCUCAACCGACAUCUGGAAGCCAUUCAGUGCUGCAUACACUUCCUGCAGGCUGCCCCUCUGUUCUCUCGCCCUUCUCAUCUCACGUGAUUGAUCACCUGACAAGCUACCUGGAUUUCCUAGUGCCCCAGAGUUGCCCUCAAUCAACACACAACACGUUCCCAUGUGGAAUCUUCACCAAGUGUUCAUUUCUUCCAUUACAGGAAAUAGUAUUCUCUCCCUGUCCCCAAAACUUUGCAGUAAAGACCCCUGACAAUCUAGUUCAAAUGUCAGUCAUGACACUGCUAGCUUUCUUUUUACAAGACUGUGUGAGUCCCCCUGCAAAAAAGUCAAACUGAAUUUUAUCACAUGAUAUCUACUAUAGUCCUUCAAGCAAUUGUCACUGCAUCUUUUCAGUUAUGGUUACCAAAGGUUGUGUUUAAAAUUAGCUCGCAGAAUUUACUGCUGGGUGUGGGGAUGGCCUACAAAUGACCCAAAUGACCAAGAUUCAGUGUUGUUCAAAUUGUGUAUGUUCUGGAAAGGAGUCACUUUGUCUACUUGAACUUUAGAAGUUAUUUACUAAUGUUGCAGUGUGAUACAAUUGAUCGUAAUCUAGGCUGGGCACCGUGGCUCACGCCUGUAAUCCCAGCACUUUGCGAGGCCGACAUGGGAGGAUUGCCUGAGCUCAAGAGUUUGAGAUCACC
RNAcentral lists this microRNA precursor (687 nucleotides) under Homo sapiens (human). RNAcentral describes it as "long non-coding RNA NONHSAT191848". Lineage: Eukaryota; Metazoa; Chordata; Mammalia; Primates; Hominidae. The record is from RNAcentral.